UUUUCCCUAAAGCCCAGCCAGAGGAAGAGUGAACAGGCCCUAGCUCCAACAGCGCCGCCGGUCUGUUGCCACUCAUGGUCCUUUCUUUCCUAUCUUUGCGCACCUCCAAUCCACACUAAGUCCUCACCAUUUGUGGAUGUCCUCCUCCCACGUAUCAUGUCGCUGUCUGUGUCCCAGUGCUUAGUUUCCCCUGUUCGUUCCACUUGCCCGAUGUGCUUGUCACCCGCACGCUUCCACUCGUGUCCUGCUUCGCAUGCUAGUAUGUUUAUUUUUUUAAAUCCUGUCACUGCUAAUCGUGUACGUGCAUGACCAUUCUCGCCAGCACAAACUCUUGGCCUAUGUUUUGUGUGACAGAGGAUUCUUUCUGCAUUGAUGCCAGGAAGGUGGCAAAGAAGAAAGGUCUAAGCCUGGGCGCAGCAACGUUACCUUUCCUUACACCAAAUCGCAAGAAACCCAAGACCACAGGAAUCUUUGAGACAAGUGUUGGCAGCUCCGACGACGAUGGAUAUGGACGGCCUCGGUCUAUCGCAUUGCCUUGUGACCCCUCCACCUUCAACCAGCACCGGGGAAAAGCUGAUGGAAUGUCAAACACCAGUAGCAGGUCCUCGAGCACUUCCCAAACUGGAGACAAACCAUCUUUGCAAGCUCUGCCAUUCCUGGAGAUAUGCAAUGUCGAAGUUGAUGGGCAGACAUGCGAAAUGAAAGCAACAGCGCCUUCGAGGAGUACAUUCGAGUGUCAUAUUGAUAUCUUUGUUCAACCUUGCGGUGAGACAGAAGCGAGGAGCGAUGGACGAGGGGCAACAUUGCGCAAAGAAACUCCCUCGGAACCGAUGCAGGCCGACACCGGUGUUCCCUCUACCGGGAUACAGCACCAGCCACGCAGAGCUUUCAAUGCAUUUCGUGUAAAACACCGUGACACUUUGACACGUAAACGGCGUAGUAAACAUGGCCGGGUCCAAGUCUCAUUGACCAUGGCUGCCUCGGCUACGACUGAGAAGCCUCUGGUUGGGUGGAAUGGUGGGGAGGAGGGACGACAGGUAAAAGAUCAAUACAGAUUUCAGGAACCGAGUGACACUGAAACAAAGGACGAUGCUGGUUGGAUACCAUUUCGGCAUGUCCCAACUAUGGAGGCCUUGCCGCAGGAGUCAAAGACUUGGCAGCAACCUUCAGUAUGCCCAGAGGCACAGUCUGCAGCUGUGUGUGCAUCCAACAAACUCACCGCCCGAAGAGAGAUAUUCAGGGUUUCUCGCAGUAUAAAGUCUCUGUGAAAUUGUCAGCAAAUGGCACGUCGUAUAGGAUGUCUGUGGAUCGUGCAUUUUGACAUCUUUCUUUUUAGAAGUCAUUAGCAGCUGAUGUUUCUCAUACAAUGUCAGUUCUUGUAAAAGGGACUGUAUGGGUUGGUAGCCAGUAGAGGCUGGACCACAUCACAUUUCACAAUUUUGUUGGCAAAGGCACAGCAUCUUCGCUUGGACGUGUAUAUGCCUCUUGGGAAUUUUGAACUAUUAACUCGGCUGUGCUUACGUUCGACAGUUUAUUAUGACUGUCGAGCUUGUGUUGCUCUCAAACGGAUUGCUCACAACGAUUUUCCAAAUGAUUCAUAUUUUGGCGAUGGGAAGUUUUUAAAUGCCAUUUUUUAAUCGUCCUGAACUUUAACCUUGGUAGGGACUACUCGUCGCAGCUUUAUAAUUUUUAUAUUGUUGGUAUAAGCACAAGUACAAUGCUUGUAAAUGUAUGCACCAGUAAUAAUGCACAAUGUAAUAUAUUUAUAUGUAAUGCUUGUGUAAAACGGAUUCUCUUUUCUGGAGAAUUUGUUAUCAUGUGCCAAUGAGGGGAAGGGAGAUGGAGAGAGGAAUUGGUAAGUUCAUACAUGACCCUUAUGGUGUUUUUUACUGGGGUAAGGUCGGGCAAGAUGCUCCUGGCAAGAAGAGUGUGGCAAGUAGUAGCUUCCUCGUUGCUUUUUUUCAGCAUAUGGAACAUUUUCCAUUUGAAUUAGCCUGCUAUAUCAUCAGCUAGAAAAGCCCUCAAGUGUGGACACUGAAUAUAUAACUCAGAAUCAAGAGUUUAUCUGGGUUGGUGGGGGUUGGGGUUGGGGGAGUGGGUAGGGAGGAAUCAUAUCACACCUUGUAUCACUCUUUUUUACUCUCUAUUCCUCUAUUACAUUAUCUAUCUCUCAAGAGAAGUGAAUUCUUGCAGAAAUUUUUCUGUAAGGCUCACUUGGCUGCACCUGGACGGGUUUGAAGGUAGAGGAGUAGUGGUUGAAACCCGAAUCCUAUCCAGGUUCCUCCUGUGACUCCAUCUUUGCUCUUUACUUAUUCAGGUUCCUUCUUGGUCUUCCGUUUCAUUAUAGAUCAUUCUACACUAUACUAUAUUACCAAAGGCCCUAAUUACCCGAACAGUUCAGAGCUCCUUCACCACUGGGCUGAGGACAGUAAGGAAACAUACAGGGUUAUUAUUUUGCAACCAUUUAUGGGUGUCAAUCCUUAGCAAAGCAAAGUCAAUUCCAAGCCACUCAGAACUCAUUAAAGUGUCUCAUGCUUUCAUCCAAAGUAUCAUGGAGUACAGAUUCCCAAUUUGACUUGAUGCAACUGUUUCCUAUCUUGUUCCCCUGGAGGUGAUCAACAACAAGGCUCUUUGUGUUAUUCACAUUUUUUGCCAGGUAAAUCCCCAUGGUCUACUGCCUGACCAUCGUAAGCAGGUUGAUGGACUCUUAUUUUGUCUUUCCUCAUUCCUCCCACACUUUAUUCCCUCCAUCCUCUCCGAGUCCACUCAGGUCACAGCACUCAUUGCUCUAGAUUCUCAAAACAACCUGCUUACCUUACCUGAUCGCUUACCUAUAUGUCUUCAUCUCUCCAUUCGCUCAUCUGUUGAACCAAUUCCCGUGUUUGUUCUCUCGUGCUCCUCCCUCCAUUCCUUCAAGAGGUGCUGCUCAUCUUCACCUCAUACUUUCUCCCAUACCCACCCCUGCUAUCUUGUACUGUUGCUGACCCCCUCCCCUACUUCCUCCUUUCCCUUCUGCCACCCAUCCACUCAUGUGCAAUGCCUUUGUCUUCCUGUUCCCAUUUGAUCACCUGCCAGUCUGUGAACCUGAUGCCCUCUGUCAUUUAAUUUAGCUCCUACAUGAGCCUAGAUUAAUUUGAUUUCUUGGAAUUCUCGUUGCCCCUCCUUACCUUGUCAACUUUGGCAGCCAACACAGCUCAGAUCCUACCAAUAAAACUCUGUACCAAAUGAGUAGGUGAGAACGAGGGCAAAUUAUGACAUUUUCAUGAAAAUCAAAAGUGGUUUUCUUACUCUCUGAACAUAUAAAAUGACAUUUGACUGAAUCUUUUGUGAAAAUGUGAGAGAGUAGGAUCUCAUUCUCACCCACUCAAACAUCAGCGCAGUCGAUAUCAGGCGUAAUAUUGUAAGUUCCUCUUUCAGUGCAAGUUCAAUGGUGGAUCGUGAUCGAUUGACUCAGCAUCAAGGCAGCAUUCAGACGUCUCAUUGUGGUUCGAUUGGAUUUAGGUUGGGGUUAUGGAAUGGCCACUGCAGAUUUGUAAUGCCGUUAUCCCCAAACCAAUUAACAGAAACAGGAGCAGGCAAAGUAUUUUGUCAUCCAGGUGGAUGUAAGAGCACUCAUCCUAACUUGCAUCAAAGCUGGUCGUGCAGCAUUAUCCAAAAUGUCGUAAUAAGAGUCCACAUCGGUCGUAAUGUCUUAUUGGUCCACAUUGCUUUGUAUUGCGGGAAUAAUAUGCACAUGCAAGUUGGAAUGGUCUGCUGUCCCAAUACUUUUGGUGAUAUGUACUCUGACACGUGAGUCAGAUUAGCACUGCACUGUUUUCUCCUGCAUAAAGGGUGUUUGCAUUGAUGCAAGUUUUUAUUCAUACUUCGAUACUUGAUGCAUUUGGUCAGGGAACGAUUACAGUAUGAUGAUUUGGUUUUCUCGAGUGUGUGUGAGUGUGUAUGAGUGAUCAUUGUCAAUAGACACAUAAAGAAGAAUACUUAGCAACAUAACUCCAUAGCUCCAAAUAAUCUUUGCAAGAAAAAUUUAUUUUAGUAUUCCUGGUGUAUUUGGUAUUUCCAGUUUUGUAUAUCAUGCAUUGUUUGGUGCAGAUAACCCGUGCCAAGAUGCACUUGUCCAAAAGAACUUUGGACUAAUGCAGGCUGUAACAGAAUAAAUGUUUCAUUGUGUCUACUCCGAUUCUCAUCGAGAAAUGCCUGUGGGUGUUUGACGUCUCACCCAUCACACACUGUUUUGCUCUGCAAUUGUGAAUGGGGUUAGUAAAAGUUCUUGGACAAGGAGGGACUUGGCUCGCAACAACCCUAAUGGUACAUGACCCGACCUAAAAAUCCGAUUCUUCGCACAGAUUGUUGCCUGAGGGUUGCACAGAAGAGCAUGUCUUAGCCUGACCAUCUGCUUCCCAGUCUGCCAAGGGAUCUGUAAUUUGUGGCUUCAGGCAGUGACAGCAAUGGGAACAGGUGCCAAGGCUGCCUGCGAGCGCCAAAGCCGCUUGCCCACUCCUUUCGCUCACAUCGCAGCAGCAUAGUGGGAGGUCCAAUAAUUCUUCUGUCACAUGAGGGUCAAUGCUCUACUGAAUGAUUGUGAAGUUGCUUCGGGUUGAUAUGGAAGAAUUUUAUUUGAAUGACCACAGUUUAUUUACAAUUUUUGGAAGACCUUCCACAGGGAAGGGAAGUUGAAAAACAUGUAUUUUGUGGCUUUCCAGUUCCGAGCCAGAAAGAGCUCAGUACAACUUGAUGUUACAAAAGAGCUGUAACGAUUAGGUGGGAACGAUGUCUGCAGCUAGGUCUCGGCUUGUAUUUAUUGAAAAAGUCUCAGGGGCAAGAAUUUUAGCUUAUUCUCAAGUAAUAUUUGUAAGAUGCUAACUCCAGAAAUCACACAAAUAGUUCAGAUUGGCAAUUAAUUGUGUGAAAAAACGAGAUUAUUUUAUAAUUUUUCUAAUAUGAGGGCUACCUCAAU
Molecule: long non-coding RNA, 4954 nt
Organism: Eptatretus burgeri (inshore hagfish)
Lineage: Eukaryota; Metazoa; Chordata; Myxini; Myxiniformes; Myxinidae
Source: Ensembl